Molecule: ribosomal RNA, 480 nt
Filed under: uncultured bacterium
Lineage: Bacteria
Description: SSU rRNA
Rfam family: Bacterial small subunit ribosomal RNA
Source: RNAcentral
AGGACGAACGCUGGCGGCGCGCUUAACACAUGCAAGUCGAACGUGAAGCCCGGGCUUGCCCGGGUGGAAAGUGGCGAACGGGUGCGUAACACGUGAGCAACCUACCCCGAAGACCGGAAUAACCCAAGGAAACUCGGGCUAAAUACCGGAUGCCCUCACCUCGUCGCAUGGCGAGAUGAGGAAAUGGAUUCCGCUUCGGGAUGGGCUCGCGGCCUAUCAGCUUGUUGGUGGGGUAACGGCCUACCAAGGCGACGACGGGUAGCUGGUCUGAGAGGAUGUCCAGCCACACUGGGACUGAGACACGGCCCAGACUCCUACGGGAGGCAGCAGUGGGGAAUCUUGCGCAAUGGGCGAAAGCCUGACGCAGCGACGCCGCGUGCGGGAUGACGGCCUUCGGGUUGUAAACCGCUUUCAGCAGGGACGAUUGUGACGGUACCUGCAGAAGACGCCCGGCCAACUACGCGCCAGCAGCCGCGGUAA